GGGAGCGACUUGGCUUCGACAGGAGUAAGUCUGCUUAGAUGGCAUGUCGCUUUGGACAAAGCGUAAAAAGUCCAAAUUAAAAUUAAACGCAAAUAACGUUAAAUUUGCUCCUGCUUACGCUAAAGCUGCGUAAGUUCAGUUGAGCCCGAAAUUUAAGUCAUACUAUCUAGCUUAAUUUUCGGUCAUUUUUGAUAGUGUAGCCUUGCGUUUGACAAGCGUUGAGGUGAAAUAAAGUCUUAGCCUUGCUUUUGAGUUUUGGAAGAUGAGCGAAGUAGGGUGAAGUAGUCAUCUUUGCUAAGCAUGUAGAGGUCUUUGUGGGAUUAUUUUUGGACAGGGGUUCGAUUCCCCUCGCUUCCACCA
RNAcentral lists this transfer-messenger RNA (360 nucleotides) under Campylobacter coli. It matches the Rfam family "transfer-messenger RNA". Rfam says of the family: Bacterial tmRNA, also known as 10Sa RNA or SsrA, is named for its dual tRNA and mRNA-like properties. Its role is to liberate the mRNA from a stalled ribosome. Lineage: Bacteria; Pseudomonadati; Campylobacterota; Epsilonproteobacteria; Campylobacterales; Campylobacteraceae. RNAcentral also lists the same sequence under 1 other name. The record is from RNAcentral.